UGUGCGUGUCUGCGUCGAGAGGCUGUGUGAGCUGAGUAUGUGCAGGUAGAUGUGACUGACGAUGCAUGACUGGCUGUAUGCCUGGGUGUCCGUAUGUGUUGGGCGUCGUGGCUGAGAGCCUGAGAGAUGUGUGUGGUUAUUGAAUCUGCUGGAGAGGCUGGGGACGAUUGGGAGUGUGGAUGCUGAGUGGUGUGUGCGGGAACAAGGAUAAGCCCACCAAGAUGCACCUGAAUUCCACCUGAGAUACUCACCUUCAUUUCAUUCCGGAGAAUCCUGUGUUUAAAGGUAGCUGACACAUUUGGAAUGAAUGUAACACAGAAGAGAGUUCAGAAUAGGAACAAAUCGCUCAUUCUACGAAAGCAUUCCUGAGACUGCAAAGGAAGCUCCAAGGCCACUGAGACAAGUCCCUUGCAUUCAGAGGCAACCACUUGUCCAAAAGGUAGACACGAAUGCCCGCUUUACACCCUCUCAGAUGUCACAGCCACAAAAUCCCAGUAAAAAAAAAAA
Molecule: long non-coding RNA, 507 nt
Organism: Alligator sinensis (Chinese alligator)
Lineage: Eukaryota; Metazoa; Chordata; Crocodylia; Alligatoridae
Exons: 3
Source: RefSeq, a predicted model, not a curated record